RNAcentral lists this ribosomal RNA (838 nucleotides) under uncultured bacterium. RNAcentral describes it as "bacterial SSU rRNA". It matches the Rfam family "Bacterial small subunit ribosomal RNA", at positions 51 to 885 of the family's 1533-position model. The record is from RNAcentral.
ACACAUGCAAGUCGAACGGCAGCACGGGAGCAAUCCUGGUGGCGAGUGGCGAACGGGUGAGUAAUACAUCGGAACGUGCCCAAUCGUGGGGGAUAACGCAGCGAAAGCUGUGCUAAUACCGCAUGAGAUCUACGGAUGAAAGCAGGGGACCGCAAGGCCUUGCGCGAAUGGAGCGGCCGAUGGCAGAUUAGGUAGUUGGUGAGGUAAAGGCUCACCAAGCCUGCGAUCUGUAGCUGGUCUGAGAGGACGACCAGCCACACUGGGACUGAGACACGGCCCAGACUCCUACGGGAGGCAGCAGUGGGGAAUUUUGGACAAUGGGCGCAAGCCUGAUCCAGCCAUGCCGCGUGCAGGAUGAAGGCCUUCGGGUUGUAAACUGCUUUUGUACGGAACGAAAAGGCUUUCUCUAAUAAAGAGGGCUCAUGACGGUACCGUAAGAAUAAGCACCGGCUAACUACGUGCCAGCAGCCGCGGUAAUACGUAGGGUGCAAGCGUUAAUCGGAAUUACUGGGCGUAAAGCGUGCGCAGGCGGUGAUGUAAGACAGUUGUGAAAUCCCCGGGCUCAACCUGGGAACUGCAUCUGUGACUGCAUCGCUGGAGUGCGGCAGAGGGGGAUGGAAUUCCGCGUGUAGCAGUGAAAUGCGUAGAUAUGCGGAGGAACACCGAUGGCGAAGGCAAUCCCCUGGGCCUGCACUGACGCUCAUGCACGAAAGCGUGGGGAGCAAACAGGAUUAGAUACCCUGGUAGUCCACGCCCUAAACGAUGUCAACUGGUUGUUGGGUCUUCACUGACUCAGUAACGAAGCUAACGCGUGAAGUUGACCGCCUGGGGAGUACGG